RNAcentral lists this small RNA (84 nucleotides) under Arabidopsis thaliana (thale cress). RNAcentral describes it as "ATSL098670". The record is from RNAcentral. Lineage: Eukaryota; Viridiplantae; Streptophyta; Magnoliopsida; Brassicales; Brassicaceae.
UAUUUUAGUUAAAAGAUUGAACCAAUAAUGAAAAGAGAAAUGAGAAAUUUUCUAUACACUCUCUCCUUUAUUUUCAUUAUUUUU